CCUACGGGUGGCAGCAGUGAGGAAUAUUGGUCAAUGGACGAGAGCCUGACCCAGCCAAGCAGCGUGAAGGAUGACUGCUCUAUGGUUUGUAAACUUCUUUUAUAUGGGAAUAAAACAGGGCAUGCAUACACUCUUGUAUGUACCAUAUGAAUAAGGAUCGGCUAACUCCGUGCCAGCAGCCGCGGUAAUACUGAGGAUCCGAGCGUUAUCCGGAUUUAUUGGGCUUAAAGGGAGCGUAGGUGGAUUGUUAAGUCAGUUGUGAAAGUUUGCGGCUCAACCGUGAAAUUGCAGUUGAAACUGGCAGUCUUGAGUACAGUAGAGGUGGGCGGAAUUCGUGGUGUAGCGGUGAAAUGCUUAGAUAUCACGAAGAACUCCGAUUGCGAAGGCAGCUCACUGGACUGCAACUGACACUGAUGCUCGAAAGUGUGGGUAUCAAACAGGAUUAGAUACCCCAGUAGUC
RNAcentral lists this ribosomal RNA (460 nucleotides) under uncultured bacterium. RNAcentral's name for it is "partial 16S ribosomal RNA". It matches the Rfam family "Bacterial small subunit ribosomal RNA", at positions 338 to 795 of the family's 1533-position model. The record is from RNAcentral.